RNAcentral lists this ribosomal RNA (467 nucleotides) under uncultured bacterium. RNAcentral's name for it is "partial 16S ribosomal RNA". It matches the Rfam family "Bacterial small subunit ribosomal RNA", at positions 28 to 506 of the family's 1533-position model. The record is from RNAcentral.
GGCGAACGCUGGCGGCGUGCUUAACACAUGCAAGUCGAACGGAAAGGCCCUGCUUUUGUGGGGUGCUCGAGUGGCGAACGGGUGAGUAACACGUGAGUAACCUGCCCUUGACUUUGGGAUAACUUCAGGAAACUGGGGCUAAUACCGGAUAGGAGCUCCUGCUGCAUGGUGGGGGUUGGAAAGUUUCGGCGGUUGGGGAUGGACUCGCGGCUUAUCAGCUUGUUGGUGGGGUAGUGGCUUACCAAGGCUUUGACGGGUAGCCGGCCUGAGAGGGUGACCGGCCACAUUGGGACUGAGAUACGGCCCAGACUCCUACGGGAGGCAGCAGUGGGGAAUAUUGCACAAUGGGCGGAAGCCGGAGGCAGCAACGCCGCGUGCGGGAUGACGGCCUUCGGGUGGUAAACCGCUUUCGCCUGUGACGAAGCGUGAGGGACGGUAAUGGGUAAAGAAGCACCGGCUAACUACGG